RNAcentral lists this ribosomal RNA (450 nucleotides) under uncultured bacterium. RNAcentral describes it as "bacterial SSU rRNA". It matches the Rfam family "Bacterial small subunit ribosomal RNA", at positions 340 to 778 of the family's 1533-position model. The record is from RNAcentral.
UACGGGAGGCAGCAGUGGGGAAUAUUGCACAAUGGGCGCAAGCCUGAUGCAGCCAUGCCGCGUGUAUGAAGAAGGCCUUCGGGUUGUAAAGUACUUUCAGUCGUGAGGAAGGUGUUAAGGUUAAUAACCUUAGCAAUUGACGUUAGCGACAGAAGAAGCACCGGCUAACUCCGUGCCAGCAGCCGCGGUAAUACGGAGGGUGCGAGCGUUAAUCGGAAUUACUGGGCGUAAAGGGCACGCAGGCGGUUAAUUAAGUUGGAUGUGAAAUCCCCGGGCUUAACCUGGGAAUGGCAUUCAAGACUGGUUAGCUAGAGUCUUGUAGAGGGGGUAGAAUUCCAUGUGUAGCGGUGAAAUGCGUAGAGAUGUGGAGGAAUACCGGUGGCGAAAGGCGGCCCCUGGGACAAAGGACUGACGCUCAUGUGCGAAAAGCGUGGGGAGCGAAAACAGGGA